RNAcentral lists this transfer RNA (73 nucleotides) under Bos taurus (domestic cattle). It matches the Rfam family "tRNA". From Rfam's summary of the family: Transfer RNA (tRNA) molecules are approximately 80 nucleotides in length. Their secondary structure includes four short double-helical elements and three loops (D, anti-codon, and T loops). Further hydrogen bonds mediate the characteristic L-shaped molecular structure. tRNAs have two regions of fundamental functional importance: the anti-codon, which is responsible for specific mRNA codon recognition, and the 3' end, to which the tRNAs corresponding amino acid is attached (by aminoacyl-tRNA synthetases). tRNAs cope with the degeneracy of the genetic code in two manners: having more than one tRNA (with a specific anti-codon) for a particular amino acid; and 'wobble' base-pairing, i.e. permitting non-standard base-pairing at the 3rd anti-codon position. Lineage: Eukaryota; Metazoa; Chordata; Mammalia; Artiodactyla; Bovidae. RNAcentral also lists the same sequence under 5 other names. The record is from Rfam by way of RNAcentral.
UCCAUGAUGGUCCAUUGGUUAGGACUCCACAUUUUCAUUGCUGAGGGCCUGGGUUCAAUUCCUGAUCAGGAAA